Molecule: small RNA, 2986 nt
Filed under: Pan troglodytes (chimpanzee)
Lineage: Eukaryota; Metazoa; Chordata; Mammalia; Primates; Hominidae
Description: processed transcript
Source: RNAcentral
AUGGAACUGUCCACUGAUACUGGCUGGAAUCAGAAGAGUAAUUUCCCGCCUUGUGACUCUCGUGUCUCCAAAGAAGAAGCCCAACUCCCUUUCCCAACACCUAGCAGCUAGGGUGCAGAUUCCUCCAACCAGACUUACGCACACAAGUCUCAGUCUGAAAGAGAGCAGCACAAGGAAGUACGUGCUGUCCUGAACCAUUGUUCUGGCUUGGAUGGUGGAGAGGAGUCUGGCAUUUGUGGGACAAGUACCCGCAUUGAUGCUGGCACUGGGAACGGGACGGAUGAUAAAGUCACUGAUCAGCACAGACACAGAAGAUGCCUCCAAGGGACCAAAGGGAAUAACCGCGGUUCUGAGGUGCGGGGACGGCUGUUGCAGGGAAAUGUGGACCGCUCAGGAGGGGCUCCUAGCGCAGGCGUCUUGCUCCGCAGACGCGGUUACAGCUGCGCUUUGCACGGCCUGCGGAAGUUUGCAAAUCUAGCAGGUCUGCUCUCCCGGCAGCAGGACUCGGCCCGCGGCGUGAGCCACCAUUCUCGGCUGAAGAUCCAUUUUAAGAAGAUUUAUUCCUCUAUGAUGGAGAAGUAUGAAAAAAUUGGGAAAAUUGGAGAAGGAUCCUAUGGAGUUGUUUUCAAAUGUAGAAACAGGGACACGGGUCAGAUUGUGGCCAUCAAGAAGUUUCUGGAAUCAGAAGAUGACCCUGUCAUAAAGAAAAUUGCCCUUCGGGAAAUCCGAAUGCUCAAGGCCCCAAGCCCCUAUGCUGCUGAACCUGCUCUCUGUGGAAUGAAAAUGGUAGGAAGAGGAAAGAAAGAAUUUCUGCCAGCAGUGGCAGAAAAAGUAGAUGCUCCUAGCGGAGUUGGAGGUCAAGGACAGGACAGUGUCACUGUGGGAUCCCUGGGCAGACGUUCUACCUAUGGCAGAAAACAAGAAAAAGAAGAGAGACAAGGAGAAGGAAUCAUCUACUGCUAUGUGGCAGUUUUGCUUUGGAUUUACUAUUUUGACCAGGGUUGUGUUGCAGGGAGGAAGAGCAGUUUCAGGAGCUUGUAUUUGGCCCUUUCUGCCAUAUUGGCUCUUACUUCACAGGUCAUAGAACCAAUGUGAGGCGUUACAUUUUACUACUAUCACGGCCCAGCCCCUUCAAGAUGGCUGCUGGUACCUAUGAGGCAGUUCUUGUCAUUCUUGAGUGCAGUUAUUUCCUCGCAGAGCAAGAACCUUAUUGCCCUACUCAGGCACUGCAACAACCUCAUUCUAUUAUAGGUCCGUGGGCCCUAGAAGGAGGUGGGGUAGAAUCUAAGGAGGACAGGCAUCCCCCUCCUAAGGAGGCACCUGCAUCAUGUGAGGGAUUUUUAGGGUCUGCAGUGCCGAAGCAAGCUUACACCCCAUUCAAAACCAGCCCUGACAAAAGGCUUAGUGACUGUGUUGCUACAGCUCCCUGGGCUUCCUCCCACCCCACUUAUCAUCAGCAGUGGGGUCCUUGUUGCCAUCUGCUCCAUGAUUGAUCCAGUUCCAGAAUUCCAUUCUGAAGGUCUGCUAGCUAAGGCCACUUCAGGCAGUGCUGGAAUCCUGGUAUGGAUAUUUUUAUGCAAUGAUGCUUUUAUUUAUGGAAAGUAUAUUCUCAGAAGUGGAGUGCUAUGGGUUCAUGGUAUCCCUGGCUUCAAGAGUGAAGCUGCAGCCCUUUGCCGUUAAGUGUUACAGCAGUGCAGACCCAAAGCGUGAGCAGCAGCAAGAUUUAUUGCAAAGAGUGAAAGAACAAAGCUUCCACAGUGUGAAUGGUGCCCAGGCUAGACAUAAAGGUUCUCCAAGUCCCCACCAGACUCAGGAGCCCAGCUGGCCUCACCCAGUGGAUCCCACACCGGGCCGCAGGUGGAGCUGCCUGCCAGUCCCAUGCCGUGCGCCUGCACUCCUCAGUCCUUGGGUGGUCGAUGGGACUGGGUGCUGCGGAGCAGGGGGCGGUGCUGAUCGUGGAGGCUCGGCCGCACAGGAGCCCAUGCAACUCAAGCAUCCCAACCUUGUUAACCUCCUGGAAGUCUUCAGGAGGAAACGGAGGCUUCACCUGGUGUUUGAAUAUUGUGACCACACAGUUCUCCAUGAGUUGGACAGAUACCAAAGAGGCAUAUGCAACAUCUUUGUGUGCAUUGGAAGAAGACUUGGUGAGCACACAGAGGCCUUGUCCAAGAAAAAGAAAAAAGGAGGAGGGAGUCCCUUCCUGCAGUUGAGGGCAGCCUCUUGCAGGAUCACCCUGUUUAAGAAUGUUGGCUGUGGGCUGGAAACCACAGGUGAUUUGAGUCUAAAUUCUGGAAGGGGGGGGCCGCAUCUCGAGGGGUGGCUGCAGCUCUCAGAGCACUUGUGUGUGGGACAGAGCUGACAUCUAGCGACUCUCCCCAGAGGUGCAUACAUAGAGACGUGAAGCCAGAAAAUAUCCUCAUCACAAAACAUUCCGUGAUUAAGCUCUGUGACUUUGGAUUUGCUCGGCUUUUGACUGGACCGAGUGACUACUAUACAGACUACGUGGCUACCAGGUGGUACCGCUCCCCUGAGCUGCUGGUGGGGGACACGCAGUACGGCCCCCCGGUGGAUGUUUGGGCAAUUGGCUGUGUCUUUGCUGAGCUGCUGUCAGGAGUGCCUCUGUGGCCAGGAAAAUCGGAUGUGGAUCAGCUGUAUCUGAUUAGGAAGACCUUGGGGGAUCUCAUUCCUAGGCACCAGCAAGUGUUUAGCAUGAAUCAGUACUUCAGUGGAGUGAAAAUUCCAGACCCUGAAGAUAUGUCCCUCUGCCUGUCAGUAACCCUGACAGAGGGAGGCCUGCUUGCUUCUGGGGCUGUGAAACGCUCACAGGAUGGGCUCUAGCGUAUCACGGGCAACCAGUUGGCCUCAUCCAGACAUUGUUGCUGAGACAGCAGAGCUCGAUGAUAUAGCAAUGGCACGUCAAACCCCAGUGAUGCUCAGAUUCAACCGACAGAAAGAACAAGAGAAAUAUUUAAGCUAUGGAGCAUGA